CGAGGUCUGCCUCGUGCGUGGAAGUCAUGGCUGUUCUGCUCCGUGCCGAUCCCGGCCUUUCGUUGGCAUCUGCAAAGACGAUGAGCUUAAAAGCAGUGGAUGGAGACAGGCCAGGAUCUGGGCGGUCCCCAAGAAAGCAGAGAUGGUGUAAUGGUCUGUCUGCCUUGUAUUUACUUCUGAAAUUAAAUUCAGCUGUACGCGUGCAUGCAUGCUGGUCUUAAGUCCCUUUAGGAUUGAAGGUGCUGGCUGUGGACUUUGAAAGAAGUCAUAUGAAAACUCAGCGUAUAAUGUUGAGCUGAAGGAUCUUCAUGGUGCAAUUUCUAUAAAUGGAGGUGCUGUGUAUGCAGCUGGCCUUCAUUAGGCUAGCUGAAAUGAUGAGUGAACUAUACUAUCUCAGGCAUUUUAUUACCUGCUAAAAUGCAUACCGCCUACUGAAUUCUCAGACACUGCUGAGUGACCCUGUCUUAAAGGCAUGGUGGUGCACUCUUGUAAUCCCAGCACUCGGGAGGCU
Long non-coding RNA from Chinchilla lanigera (long-tailed chinchilla), 511 nucleotides. RefSeq lists it as uncharacterized. The transcript is spliced from 5 exons. NCBI's taxonomy places the organism in Eukaryota, Metazoa, Chordata, Mammalia, Rodentia, Chinchillidae. The record is from RefSeq and is a predicted model, not a curated record.